This is a long non-coding RNA of Monodelphis domestica (gray short-tailed opossum), 641 nucleotides long. RefSeq lists it as uncharacterized. Lineage: Eukaryota; Metazoa; Chordata; Mammalia; Didelphimorphia; Didelphidae. The record is from RefSeq and is a predicted model, not a curated record.
UCCUGCCAACAUUCUAAAAUGGUUCCUCAGUUUCCUUUCCACAAAAUCAAGAAUUUUAAAUACUCCUACUUAGCACUUGAUCUGAGAUACAACGCCAGGGCAUGAAUCACCAAGGCAGAAGGAGAUCCCAGGAAUCUUUGAAGUACCUCUGACAAGAGAAAUGAUUGCCAUCUGAUAGCAAUCUUGACUGUUGCCCAAUUCUGAGUCAUGGUUCUAUCCUGCUCCAAAACAGGAGCAACUAAGCUCAUUGUUAGUGCUUCUUGAAUAAGGAGUUAUUUCCUAAAACAUAUCUGUAUGAUUCUGAGCAUAGUCUAGUCUUUAGAAUUUGUCUUCAGUGAGAUAUCCAGGAUAGGAAUCCCAUACCAAUAGGAUUAAGCUGUUGUGGAAAGGAAAACUGAAACUGAGGAACCACCGUUUAGAAUGCUUCUAGGAUAGGAGUGGCAGUUGGAGCAGCAGAUGGGGUUUGUGGGAAUGAGAGUAGAGAAAGUGGUCUUUGCCCUGUGAACUUGUGAGAGACAAGAGCUAGGAUCAAAGCUGAAGAGCCCAAACUGUGAUGACAGAGCCUUGCUUCUAUUUGCCUUACCCUGAAGACAGAAGAUUCCUGACAUCUUUAGAUGAUCAAUAAAAGAAAGCAAAGAACA